UGAAACUGUUGAAAACAAAACUUGCUCAAAAACUGGUUUUAGAUAAUCCAGGUUUUUGUGAAGUUAGCAGAGCUUAAAAACUACAAUUUUUUCCUGCGAUUUUAAAGAGGUUUUAGGCAGCAGCAGUAAGAAAUAAUGAUAAAUGAAAUAAAUAAAUAAAAAUAAUAAUAAGUGGGUCGAAUUCUGUCCAGUUUGAGUCAAGAAACCCUGAUUGUUAGUCCAGUUCUAUGAAAAAUUCAGCUCCUCGGUUUAUCUAAAAUAAUUUAAAAAGCACCAAAUUUGAAGCUUGUUUCAUUUUAUUCCUUUAACUCCUAUUUUAACGGCUACAAACUGUGUUUAUGUGGAGUCAUUUAGUACAAACAUCACCUCAUAAAACCCAAACCGCAGCACGAAUCGGGACAAAAACCCCAAGCAAGGAAAUCUUCAAAUGCAAACAAACAGCCAGGUUGGAGCGUUCAGAGGCUUUUCUGUUUGUUUGCGUUGCUUCAUGAGUGAAUCGUUGGUCACCAGAGACACGUUUUUAACUCUUCUGAUGCCCACAAAGUGUUUUCAGCUCCUCUCUCUUCCAAGUUCGUGACUCUGUGGGCAACAAAUGUGCAUUCAAGUGCUGCUUUUCUUUCUUUAUUUCCCAGAAAACGUCUUUUUUUUUUAGUCCCACUCGUCUUCACAGAGUCUCAAAACACUUUUCCGGAGAGAACUUUGCGGCUCCUCGAUGUUGUAAAAA
Molecule: long non-coding RNA, 724 nt
Organism: Stegastes partitus (bicolor damselfish)
Lineage: Eukaryota; Metazoa; Chordata; Actinopteri; Pomacentridae
Exons: 2
Source: RefSeq, a predicted model, not a curated record